GACGUAGGGCGCGAGCGUUGUCCGGAUUUAUUGGGCGUAAAGAGCUCGUAGGCGGCUUGUUACGUCGACUGUGAAAACCCGCGGCUCAACCGUGUGGUCUGCAGUCGAUACGGGCAGGCUAGAGUUCGGUAGGGGAGACUGGAAUUCCUGGUGUAGUGGUGAAAUGCGUAGAGAUCCGGAGGAACACCAGUGGCGCAGGCGGUGUCCUGGGACGUACCUGACGCUGAGACGCGAAAGCAUGGGGAGCGAACGGG
This 254-nucleotide ribosomal RNA is filed under the name uncultured bacterium. Its description in RNAcentral is "partial 16S ribosomal RNA". It matches the Rfam family "Bacterial small subunit ribosomal RNA", at positions 524 to 776 of the family's 1533-position model. The record is from RNAcentral.